Molecule: ribosomal RNA, 312 nt
Filed under: Klebsiella pneumoniae
Lineage: Bacteria; Pseudomonadati; Pseudomonadota; Gammaproteobacteria; Enterobacterales; Enterobacteriaceae
Description: bacterial LSU rRNA
Rfam family: Bacterial large subunit ribosomal RNA
Source: RNAcentral
GAAGCAGCCAUCAUUUAAAGAAAGCGUAAUAGCUCACUGGUCGAGUCGGCCUGCGCGGAAGAUGUAACGGGGCUAAACCAUGCACCGAAGCUGCGGCAGCGACACUAUGUGUUGUUGGGUAGGGGAGCGUUCUGUAAGCCUGCGAAGGUGACCUGUGAGGGUUGCUGGAGGUAUCAGAAGUGCGAAUGCUGACAUAAGUAACGAUAAAGCGGGUGAAAAGCCCGCUCGCCGGAAGACCAAGGGUUCCUGUCCAACGUUAAUCGGGGCAGGGUGAGUCGACCCCUAAGGCGAGGCCGAAAGGCGUAGUCGAUG